RNAcentral lists this non-coding RNA (823 nucleotides) under Haematomyzus elephantis (elephant louse). The record is from RNAcentral. Lineage: Eukaryota; Metazoa; Arthropoda; Insecta; Psocodea; Haematomyzidae.
AUUAAUUCUUCACCUCCGCAGAAGGUGAUUGAAGUCUGCUAGUGCAAAGAUUAGACUUAUAGAUCCAAUUGUAUUGAUAUUCUAAGGUAUCACUCUUCACAACUGGUGAUAGGACAGGUGAGGUCAUUUGCUUAUAAUUCAGACCUGUGAUAUAUAUGUGCCAGCACACGCGGUCAUACAUUUAGGUCAAGUGGACUUUUGGUAGAGAAGGUAACACGAUUUUGUGUUCAAUUUACCGUUAAAGUGAUAAAAGGUAAAAUUUACUGAUCAUUUUAGUUAAAUUUACACAUAGUUACUAUUAAACAAGUUGGUAAACUAGGAUUAGAUACCCUACUAUUCUUGUGAAUUAUUAAUUUUCUCUAGAAAUUAAAUGAUAUAAUCAUUAAACCUAUGCAGGAGUGGCGGUUCUUGGCCCAAUCAGAGGCUUAUGUUUUAAAUCGAAAUUACACGAACAUCUUACCACAAAUUAUAUUGUCCUUGCACACCGCCGUCGGAAGGGAAAGAGUUAAAUCUGAACCUUUAUCAGCACUCAUAUGUGGAGUACGUGGCUGAACUAAGACAGGUCAAGGUGCAGGUUAUAUUUAUGGGGAAAAUGUAAGUCAUUAUUUGAGUUAUAUAAGUUUAUGAGAUGAAAUCUCCCAUAAUUGUUAUAGAAUUUGACAGUAAAUGGAGUUUAAAAUACUGCAUUGAACAGGGUCCCAAGAGUGUACAAAUCGCCCGUCGCUCCAGGUUGAAUUUAUGUUUAAAUUUUCACUUAAAGUCAUAUUUUCAUUAUUCUUGGAUAAGUCGUAACAAAGUUGCACUACCGGAAGGUGGAGCAGUG